Molecule: long non-coding RNA, 1288 nt
Filed under: Cricetulus griseus (Chinese hamster)
Lineage: Eukaryota; Metazoa; Chordata; Mammalia; Rodentia; Cricetidae
Description: lncRNA (ENSCGRG00015035196.1)
Source: RNAcentral
ACAAGAUCAAUCGGCAGCCGGUUCGAGGGGUCUUUUACGAGCCAUCCGCCAUGCUGGAUGGUCUAACAUUUGGGGGCUCGUCCCAGAUUUGCGACCACCCUUCACCUGUAUGGAUUCGAUCUUGGAGUUUAUAAUGUCAGACAGACUGCCAGAUCCGAACAGUGACCCAAAGUCUCCAAAGAAGAUUAUGAGGCACCCAGUUCCUGCACCUGGACCAGUGAGCGAGAUGCUCAGAUAUGAUACCUGCCGCCUGCUAGAACCUGGCCGAGACUGUGGACAAAGCUGCUGGACACUGGAAAAUUGAUUGCACCGCCUUUGCCUAGACUAAACAAGAUAUCUGAGUAUCAGUUGCUGACUACAGGCUCUUCUAAGUGGACUGCAAGCCCUGGACUUGCUGUGGAUGUGAACCAGUCCAGCUGAUAUGGACACCCCCUGUCUCUGCAACAGUGUCUGCUAACCAGAAGCCCCUGAUGAAUUCCCCAUUGCCUAAAUUCCUUUUUGCUUUUGACUAGCAUUUCAACCUUCUGGGGUCCCUAACUUCGUCCCAAAGUCAGCAGGAAGCAGUUUGGAAAAGAAUUUCGCCGUCCAUUUUCCCUGGUUAAAAUGCUAAGUCAAAAGGAACUCCCUUGCAUGGGGAUGCCAAUAUCUAUCACUCCCUGAUGGGGAUGCUAGAGAGACAGCAAUUCCAUGAAAGGAAUUUCCAAAAAAGAAAAGGGGGAAUGAAGGAACCAGCUUCCCUUUUGGCAGCCAUAACAGCUGAACACGUGCUUGCCAUAAACCUGCCUUGGUCACUUAGAGGUCAGAUGCCUGUCUCCUGACAAGGAGCCAAUCAGAAGUUAGCUGGUGGCACACCAUGGGUGUGCUUUACGGACAAGCGCACAACAAUGACGUAGAGGGCAUAGCAACCACCCUGUGAGGGCCCAUGGGCCAUAACAACCAGUUGACCAAUCAACACAGGGCAAGCCCUCCAAGGCUGGAGGCACACCAAUCGUGAGCCUGUGCGUAACCCUAGACACUCCCAUACACUGCCCUAUAAAAUCUUUUGGGAGCCCCUAGGAGCAGUUUUUCUAGCCAUCCGCCAUGGCGGAUGGAUGAAAGACACAAGCUAACAUGGGGUUAGCUCGUUAAAUUACAAUAAAGCCUCGUGCAGUUUGCAGCAAGCUCUCGAAUCUGCCUGGUGAUUGGGGUGACCGUGAACGUGGCCUGGGACCCGGGAUAACUGAGGUUUCCGGGAGUCUAACAUUCACCACUGCCUGGCUCUUUUUACUUAUUAAGAAAAAAGAUACUG